UGUAAGAAAGACUAAGGGAUA
This 21-nucleotide transfer RNA is filed under the name Goniastrea stelligera. RNAcentral's name for it is "partial tRNA-Met". The record is from RNAcentral. Lineage: Eukaryota; Metazoa; Cnidaria; Anthozoa; Scleractinia; Merulinidae.